Herpailurus yagouaroundi (jaguarundi) is the source of this 2678-nucleotide long non-coding RNA. RefSeq lists it as uncharacterized. NCBI's taxonomy places the organism in Eukaryota, Metazoa, Chordata, Mammalia, Carnivora, Felidae. The record is from RefSeq and is a predicted model, not a curated record. The transcript has 5 exons.
GGACAUAGGGCUCGAACUCACGAACUCAGAGAACAUGACCUGAGCCCAAGUCAGAUGCUCCACCAGCCAAGCUACCCAGGUGCACCCCCCCCCCCAGUAAUUCUCAAACCCAAAGCCAGUCUCUAGUUGAAAUUCACCCAUGAUCUGUCAAACUGAGUUGCUUCCCAAUAAACUUGUCAUUAAAUGUAAUUAAUAUGUGAUACGAACUGUGAAGCCAAAAAGAAUUUCAUCAAUGACAUGAGCAACUUCUUGGCCAAAUUGGAUCAUGGUUUUCCCAUAGGGCACAAGUAGAGUUUUUCCUCCAUGUUUUCUGCCGGUUACAAUGUAAAGGAUACAGAGUUGACACAUUUUUGUCAAAAUUUUGGCAACAUUUUAAAUUAAACUACAUUGUUAAUUUUAUCCAUUACUUUCUGAAGUCUAGACUAGAGGUUGGGAGAGUUUUCCCCGAAGGGUCAAAUGGGAAAUAUUUUAGGCUUUGCCAGACACAUGUAGUGUCUGUCACAUAUUUUUUCUUUUGUUUUGUUUUUUUUUUUACCACCCUUUCAAAACAUGAAAGCUGUUCUUAGCUCCAGCAAAGGCCAGAUUCAACCUUCCAGCUCUGAACUGUAGCAUGUUCAGAUUUGCACAAUAUAAAUGUUUCUCUGAUGGCUGAUUUCAAGCGGCCAAUGUGGGGUGCCUGAACCAACAUGGAGUGUCAGAAUGAGGCUUGGGAACCCUCUUUCCAGCAUAUGGAUCCAAUAAAUGGAAGUAACCCAAGGCACGUAGGUCACGGUAGGGCAAUUGAGAAGUAACGUGUUUUGAGACCUUGUUAUCAAGAGUACUGAUUUCACUGUAAACUUCUAUAAUUUAAUUUUUGACAGUGUCUGUUUAACCGCGAGCCCACAGAAUUCCUGAAAAUUUAACAUUUGAUUCUCUUGCCCCAGCUCCGGCUCGCAGGGGUGUCACCUCCAAGUGGAGAUGGGGUUGUGUAAGCUAGGCUUCUGGGUUGGUCCUGGAUGUUCAGUUUCUUCCCCUGGGUUCCACUUAGGCGCCCCCCAAGGUGACCCCCGGCGAGUCAGUGCCCUGUAUCAUCCCCUCCCCCUGAGUCUGAGCCCGACCCAUCAUGUACUUCUGACCAGCAGAGUUUGCUGAGUGGGGUAGGCCCUCAUUCCCUUGACUGUGUCCCUUCACAUGUGAAGGAUGAUGGAUGUCACACCCAUCACGCCCACGAUCCCAUGAUGUCUGGAGACACAGUCUCCUGCCGGCCUUGCAGGAGCCACAGCCAUGUGAACAGCCCUUGGAGAAGGCACCGUGGCACGGGACGGUGGGCGGCGUCCAGGACCUGAGGGUGGCCUCCAGCCAAUCGCCAGAAAGAAGCUGGGGCCUUCGGUCGUGUGUCCAUGAGGACACGCGUGUGCCAGCAGCCUGAAUGAGCCGGAAAGAGUGGAGCCUCCAGACGAGAGCAAAGCCCAGCCCCCACCUGGAUUACGCGGGAGACCCUGAGCCGGUCGCUCUGCCCACCCCUGACUCCUGCCCUGGGGAACCUGAGGUAUGGCGCAGACAACGGGAAGGAUGGGGGACACAUAGCAUCAUCACACUGGGAGAUCAAUAUGCCGUCUCAACCCAAGAGGGCAGAUGCUCUGCUUGCCGAAAUAACAAACCUGAGAAACAGAUGAUGUGGCUUGAUCUGUCACCAACCAGGCCUGCUCACUCCUUGAAGGUUAACAGAAUAAAAUGACUGGAAAUUAGUCUGGCCUAACACACGCUGUCAAAUAGCAGGGAAAUCCUACGAGGACAGUGAAAAAAACAUACUUCUGCAGCCUUGCCAUUUGAUGCCACAUUGCAGAGCGAUCCCCUGUGAAGUGACUUCCGUCCAGGGCCACAAAACAAAACCAUCUAACCUUAAUCAUCACACCUUCCACCUUACGAGACGUUGGUUGUAAAUCUCCUUCAGGGCCUAUAUUUGCUGCUGUUGGCAGGGUAAGAAAACGCUCGCCAGGGAGGAUUUCAAACCUGGAAGCGAAUGUGUCAGCUCGCUUCCAACUCAACAGCUGGUUGCUCAUUCUCUAUGGCAGUGAUAGACGUAAAAGAGGGAGCAGCAUUAGGUCUUACAGAUUUCAUCUUUUCAGUCACCGUAAACUUCGUCAGACUGUCUCAGCCAGCUUGUUUUUUUCCUUUGAAGCCUUAACAGGAUAAACCGUAGAGGGGAAAUCCGAUCGGCAGGUAUUGCACAGCCGAGGGACGCCGGGCCGUGCACUUUUCACACGCAUCUCGUGGCCUCCCCACACCACGUCAUCCGCAAGCCGGGCCUCGUGUGCCCCUGUUUUAGGGCAGCUGGGAUUGCAGAACUGAAAGCACCAGUUUCCAGUGAGAGCCUCCGAGAAGGACAGACAGAGAAGAGUUUCCAGGAGGGGUGGCCCAGCCAGCCCCGAUACGCCUUCUCCUCUAAAAUUUCCUCUUUCUACCCCUUUCCUACGCCUGGAGUCACUCCUCGUGUGAUCCACUGUCUGCUUCUCUCACUGAGCACAAGGUUUGGGGUUCAUCUGUAUUGUUGCACGUAUCCGCUACCUGUCCCUGCUCGUGCGGAGCAUACUUGAUUGUACGAAAAUACCGUUUUCUUUUCAGUGAGCCCACUAGAUGAUAGACAUACGGAUCGUUUCCAGCUUGGGUUUUAUGAAUAAUUCUGCUCUAAACAUUCA